This 171-nucleotide unclassified non-coding RNA is filed under the name uncultured Scytalidium. RNAcentral describes it as "sequence contains ITS1". Lineage: Eukaryota; Fungi; Ascomycota. The record is from RNAcentral.
CAGAGUUCAAGCCCCUCGGGGCAGAUCUCCCACCCUUGUGUAUUCAUACCUCUGUUGCUUUGGCAGGCCGCUGGGUUUCGACUUGGCCACCGGCUCUUGGGCUGGUGUGCGCCUGCCAGAGGACCUCCAAACUCUGGUUAUCAGUGUCGUCUGAGUAUUAUACAAUCGUUA